GGACGAACGCUGGCGGCGUGCCUAAUACAUGCAAGUCGAACGGUCUUUCUAUGGAAGCUUGCUUCCACUGAGAAGAUAGUGGCGAACGGGUGAGUAACACGUGGGUAACCUGCCCAUAAGAGGGGGGAUAACAUCCGGAAACGGGUGCUAAUACCGCAUAGUUUCUUGAUCGCAUGAUCGGGAAAGGAAAGACGGCCUUUGUGCUGUCGCUUAUGGAUGGACCCGCGGCGUAUUAGUUAGUUGGUGAGGUAACGGCUCACCAAGACGAUGAUACGUAGCCGACCUGAGAGGGUGAUCGGCCACAUUGGGACUGAGACACGGCCCAAACUCCUACGGGAGGCAGCAGUAGGGAAUCUUCCGCAAUGGACGAAAGUCUGACGGAGCAACGCCGCGUGAGUGAAGAAAGGUUUUCGGAUCGUAAAACUCUGUUGUCAGAGAAGAACAAGUUGGAGAGUAACUGCUCCAGCCUUGACGGUAUCUGACCAGAAAGCCACGGCUAACUACGUGCCAGCCGCUGC
RNAcentral lists this ribosomal RNA (518 nucleotides) under uncultured bacterium. RNAcentral's name for it is "bacterial SSU rRNA". It matches the Rfam family "Bacterial small subunit ribosomal RNA", at positions 27 to 518 of the family's 1533-position model. The record is from RNAcentral.